Molecule: ribosomal RNA, 301 nt
Filed under: uncultured bacterium
Lineage: Bacteria
Description: partial 16S ribosomal RNA
Rfam family: Bacterial small subunit ribosomal RNA
Source: RNAcentral
CAGUCGCCGCGGUAAUACGGAGGGAGCUAGCGUUGUUCGGAAUCACUGGGCGUAAAGCGCACGUAGGCGGCUAUUCAAGUCAGGGGUGAAAGCCCGGGGCUCAACCCCGGAACUGCCUUUGAAACUAGAUAGCUUGAAUCUUGGAGAGGCGAGUGGAAUUCCGAGUGUAGAGGUGAAAUUCGUAGAUAUUCGGAAGAACACCAGUGGCGAAGGCGACUCGCUGGACAAGUAUUGACGCUGAGGUGCGAAAGCGUGGGGAGCAAACAGGAUUAGAUACCCCAGUAGUCCCUGUCUCUUAUAC